GCAUGGCAAGCGUUGAUCGCAUUCUAACGUGUCCGGUGUUUUAUGAGUGGGUUUUCCCCUCAUGAUCCGUUGGCUCGUUGGUCGUGAUUGAUCUUCCAAUGGGAUGACGCAUGAGUGGUGAUUAGGAUGUGCUUUCAUGCAGGCUCCGCGUAUUUUACGUCGAACUGCGUUGUGCUGUCCAUUUCAGUAAUCCAUUGCUUUGGCUUGUCUUUGCUUGUUGCAAAAUGAUCGGGUGGUUUCUGUGUUAUCUAUCGAUUUUUGUAUGCGUGAUGGAUUGAAUCCAUUGUGUUUUGUUCUCUUCGCUGCUGGCUUGUCCAGUGAAGGUGGAUGUUGCGUUGGUCUCCUGUGUUUCAUGCAAGUUUGUCCCUCUGUGGGUGUGGAUUUGUAAUGGCUCAUGGGUGGCUGUCUUUGCUCUUGGGUAUGCGAAAUAUUUGGUUGUUGUUUGGGUCUUUGACCUAUGCAUAUCGCAUGUUGAGCAUGUAGCUUUAUUUUGUCUGACCCUCGUGCUUGUUCCUAUGCUCAUCGAGUCUUAGUGCUCGUUGUUUGUCGCGGGGAUGUUCGAGGUCUAUGAGGAAUGC
Molecule: unclassified non-coding RNA, 578 nt
Filed under: Warneckea sansibarica
Lineage: Eukaryota; Viridiplantae; Streptophyta; Magnoliopsida; Myrtales; Melastomataceae
Description: partial external transcribed spacer
Source: RNAcentral